UAAACAUCACUCAAAAAAGUACAUUCCAUAUAUUGAUUUAAAAAGAGAAGUACAAAGGAAUGUAACAUACAAGGAAGAUUACAAAAGAUGAAUGAUCUAUUUAGUACUAGGGGGAGAGAUGAAUCUUUAGAGCCAUUAUCAUCUUGGUCUUCUACAGAAAAGUCUUUAUCAAUGGCAGCGUUGGUAUUGUCUCCCGAAACCCCCUCUUCUUCAUCUUCACCUUCAUCCUCGUCUUCCGCAAGCGCCCGAUCUCGUAUCUCAGUGGCCUCUUUUG
Molecule: long non-coding RNA, 274 nt
Filed under: Zostera marina
Lineage: Eukaryota; Viridiplantae; Streptophyta; Magnoliopsida; Alismatales; Zosteraceae
Description: long non-coding RNA (ZMAR_LNC001133)
Source: RNAcentral